AGAGUUUGAUCCUGGCUCAGGAUGAACGCUAGCGGCGCGCUUAACACAUGCAAGUCGUGCGAUCGGACCGAACCAAAACUCUUCGGAGUUGCGGUUCGGUUACGGAGCGGCGAACGGGUGAGUAACACGUAGCUAACUUCCCUCUAGGAGGGGUAUAGCCCCGGGAAACCGGAGUUAAUACCCUAUAGAGUCGGGGAACACAAGUUCCCCGAUAAAAGAUCCUUUCGGAUCGCCUUGAGAUAGGGCUGCGUCCUAUUAGCUUGACGGUGAGGUAAAGGCUCACCGUGGCCGAGAUAGGUAGGGGGCGUGAGAGCGCGAUCCCCCACACUGGGACUGAGACACGGCCCAGACUCCUACGGGAGGCUGCAGUGGGGAAUCUUCCACAAUGGGUGAAAGCCUGAUGGAGCGACGCCGCGUGGGGGAAGAAGGCCUUCGGGUUGUAAACUCCUUUUCUGGGGGACGAAUGAGGUAGGCAGGCAAUGGUCUACCGAUGACGGUACCCCAGGAACAAGCGCCGGCUAACUUCGUGCCAGCAGCCGCGGUAAGACGAAGGGCGCAAGCGUUAUCCGGAAUUACUGGGCGUAAAGGGCGUCUAGGCGGUCCGUCAGGUCGACGAUGAAAGUCCUCGGCUCAACUGAGGAAAGUUCGUCGAAACCGGCAGACUCGAGGAAUGCAGAGGGAGGUGGAACUCUCGGAGUAGCGGUGGAAUGCGUAGAUACCGAGAGGUACCCCGAUGGCGAAGGCAACCUCCUGGGCAUUACCUGACGCUGAAGCGCUAAGGCCAGGGGAGCGAAGGGGAUUAGAUACCCCCGUAGUCCUGGCUUCAAACGAUGUGAGCUAGGUAUCGGGCCGUAAUAAAUGGUUCGUCGCCGUAGCUAACGCGUUAAGCUCACCGUCUGGGGAUUACGUCCGCAAGGAUGAAACUCAAGGGAAUUGACGGGGGCCCACACAACCGGUGGAGCACGUGGUUUAAUUCGAUGAUAAGCGAAGAACCUUACCAGGGCUUGACCUAGCGGUAGUAGGACCCUGAAAGGGGAACGAUUCCGGACUUAGUCCGGAAAGCCGUCGCAGGUGGUGCAUGGCUGUCGUCAGCUCGUGUCGUGGGACGUUGGGUUAAGUCCCGUAACGAGCGCAACCCCUGCCCUUAGUUGCCAGCGGUACGGCCGGGGACUCUAAGGGGACUGCCGGAGAAUAUCCGGAGGAAGGGGGGGAUGACGUCAAGUCAUUAUGCCCCUUAUGCUCUGGGCGACACACGUGCUACAAUGGGUACUACAAUGGGGAGCCAAUCCGCGAGGAUGAGCAAAUCCCAAAAAGGUACCCUCAGUGCGGAUUGGGGUCUGCAACUCGACCCCAUGAAGAUGGAAUCGGUAGUAAUCGCGGGUCAGCCAUACCGCGGUGAAUACGUACUUGGGCCUUGCACACACCGCCCGU
RNAcentral lists this ribosomal RNA (1431 nucleotides) under uncultured bacterium. RNAcentral's name for it is "bacterial SSU rRNA". It matches the Rfam family "Bacterial small subunit ribosomal RNA". The record is from RNAcentral.